CGGUUGGGUGACAGCGGAGGGACAUUACCGAGUUUACAACUCCCAAACCCAAUGUGAACCAUACCAAACUGUUGCCUCGGCGGGGUCACGCCCCGGGUGCGUCGCAGCCCCGGAACCAGGCGCCCGCCGGAGGGACCAACCAAACUCUUUUCUGUAGUCCCCUCGCGGACGUUAUUUCUUACAGCUCUGAGCAAAAAUUCAAAAUGAAUCAAAACUUUCAACAACGGAUCUCUUGGUUCUGGCAUCGAUGAAGAACGCAGCGAAAUGCGAUAAGUAAUGUGAAUUGCAGAAUUCAGUGAAUCAUCGAAUCUUUGAACGCACAUUGCGCCCGCCAGUAUUCUGGCGGGCAUGCCUGUCCGAGCGUCAUUUCAACCCUCGAACCCCUCCGGGGGGUCGGCGUUGGGGACCUCGGGAGCCCCUAAGACGGGAUCCCGGCCCCGAAAUACAGUGGCGGUCUCGCCGCAGCCUCUCCUGCGCAGUAGUUUGCACAACUCGCACCGGGAGCGCGGCGCGUCCACGUCCGUAAAACACCCAACUUCUGAAAUGUUGACCUCGGAUCAGGUAGGAAUACCCGCUGAACUUAAGCAUAUCUAAAGCGGGAAAGAAAAAGACCUUUUUAACCCCACCGC
RNAcentral lists this ribosomal RNA (629 nucleotides) under Trichoderma atroviride. RNAcentral describes it as "eukaryotic LSU rRNA". The stretch from base 213 to 366 matches the Rfam family "5.8S ribosomal RNA". Lineage: Eukaryota; Fungi; Ascomycota; Sordariomycetes; Hypocreales; Hypocreaceae. The record is from RNAcentral.